Molecule: long non-coding RNA, 460 nt
Organism: Oncorhynchus masou masou (cherry salmon)
Lineage: Eukaryota; Metazoa; Chordata; Actinopteri; Salmoniformes; Salmonidae
Exons: 3
Source: RefSeq, a predicted model, not a curated record
AACAUAGAUCCCUGUCUUCAGCCAAUCCUGAUCAAGAACCUUACAAUACGAGACGGUCAAUCAUUCAUCAAUAUUGGAGACACUGAAAUUGAGUACAAUCCCAACUUUAGGCUCUACCUGGCCACCUGUCUGCCCAACCCCCACUUCCUCCCGGCAGUGUGUGUCCUGGUGAAGCUGAUCAACUUCUCGGUAGAGUACGAGUGUCUGCAGGAGCAGCUGCUGUCCAGCGCGGUGUCUCUGUAUCAGCCGGAGCUAGAGCUGCACCACAACCAGCUCCUGCACACUAUUACUGCUGACCUGUUCAGCCUUCACGAGCUGGAGAACAGGUCCCUGCUGCUGCUGCAGGACACCCAGGGACACAUAUUGGACGACCAGGACCUCGUUGAUAACCUGAAAAAGUCCAAGGUCACCUCCAAUGAGAUCUCCGUGCGAGUUGAAACGGCUAAGGACAAGGAGAAGG